Molecule: ribosomal RNA, 254 nt
Filed under: uncultured bacterium
Lineage: Bacteria
Description: partial 16S ribosomal RNA
Rfam family: Bacterial small subunit ribosomal RNA
Source: RNAcentral
UACGUAGGGGGCAAGCGUUGUCCGGAUUUAUUGGGCGUAAAGAGCUCGUAGGCGGCUCGGUAAGUCGGAUGUGAAACCUCCAGGCUCAACCUGGAGACGCCAUCUGAUACUGCCGUGGCUUGAGUCCGGUAGAGGAGCAGGGAAUUCCUGGUGUAGCGGUGAAAUGCGCAGAUAUCAGGAGGAACACCAGCGGCGAAGGCGCUGCUCUGGGCCGGUACUGACGCUGAGGAGCGAAAGCAUGGGGAGCGAACAGG